UUUUCUCUAGUUUACUGGAUAAAAAGCAAAAGUAUACAAACGCUGGAGUCUAAUAAAAUUCCAACUGCAUCGAGAUAUGAAGGAGCCACAGCGAGAUUGAAAUUCCAAGAUAAUAAAAACAAACCAAAAUAUCUUGAUGCUAAGAUUAUCAGAAUGAGUAUUGUUUUUCUCCAAAAUUUUUACAUAACGAAAAUAUAAAACUUCAAAUAAAUUUUCUAACAUUGUUAAAUUAUUGAUGAUGAUAAAGAAUUAAAUGAGCUAAAUUAAAUGAGGUUGAUGAAGAAUCGGGAGAAAUUAUUGAUCAUUCACAAAAAGCAUUUACGAAAAAAAUUUUAGCUUCAAGAGUUUUACUGCAGGAAGCAAAAAAAGAUUGUGAAAAACGAAAAAGAUCUGUUGAAAAAAAGCGUGAAGAAGAUGCUCUAAAUAAUAAACCAUUUUUAGCGGAAGAAAAAGGACCUAAAUCAAAGAAAAUUAAAUCAUCAAAAAUUAUAAAAGGCACUACUUCAUUUCAAGCUCUUGAUAAAGAACAAAAAAAAGUUAAUACGGUUACAAUGGCAGUUAUUCCAUCAACUUCAUCCACCAGCGACCGAGUAAAGACACGAAGAUCUCAAAUACCGGGAAGUAAUUUAACAUCUGAUACUAAAGACAAUGAGGAAGAAGAAAAAGAAGAAGAAAUUAUGGAUUCAAUAUCUCCAAAAAACGUUUGUUGGAUACCUGGUGUAACAACGGAAAUUUUAGCUUUUCACAUGAAUCUUCUGGCAUCAAUCGAGUAUUCUUUGAAUCCUGGACGUCAAGAUAUUAUUAAUAAAGUGACGAAACUGACUAAGGAAAUUUUGACCAAUUCUGAAGAUAAGGUAGAAAUAUUUCCUAAUACUGGCUGCUAUCUCCGUAAAUCCGUAAUGACAAGCAUAGAUCUUCUUAAUUUCAAAGAAAAUGAUUGGAAAAAAUAUCUUACUAAUAUUUUAGUGCAAAUGUUUGGGGACAAAUUGAAAUUUAUAUCUGUUAAAGGCUAUCGAGGAAAUCUAGCUCUGCAUCCAAAAAUUUAGCGAGCUCUUUUCAGUUUAAUGAAUGAUAAAUCUGAAACUCAAAUUUCUUCAAAGGCGUUUAACCAAGUCCUCAAUAAAGCAUGCACAAAUAGAAAGGCAAAUUCCAUAAAAUCUCUGUCAUCAUUGAUGAGAAACAAGAAGACGAAGAAGAUGACGAUAAUGGAAAUUUUAACCAACAUUUAUCGACUUCAUCGAAUAAUCAGUACUUACCACCACGAUCUCUAUCCUCAUCACCGUGCUUCGAUAAUGAUUCAAGAACAUUAUCACUAGUAAUAGUUGACGACUGUAAAAAAUUUGAACAAGUUCUGGAGAAUAACAUUGAAAAAUCGCCAAAUAAUGAAUUAAUACUUACUUAUUCGGAAACGAAUGUAAAUCUUAACGACCGAUCAUCGACAGUAUUAUUGAAGCCAGUCAAUGACAAUCAACUAUCCGCAAAUGGUGAAGAAAUUAAUGUAGGAGUGUACCCUUCACGAGUAAAUACGCUUUUUAAUAAUGAUACAGAACAGCAAUCAACCCUUAAGUCAUCAGCGAUUAAUCCUGUUCAUUCAAAAUCAAACUUCGAGAAUCAAUCAAUAAUUCCAUCAACAGUUCCAUCCACUCAAUCAAAUCUAUAUCCAAGUGCACAGUCAAAAGUUACUUCGACAAUCGCUUCAAUUCAUUCCAAUCCACACUUUCGCAAUCAAGCGAUGGUUCCAUCAACAGCUCCAUCCACUCUAUCAAAUCUACAUCCCAGCGCACAGUCAACAGUCCCAUCAAUGAUGACUCCAACUUACUUCAAUCCACGCUUUUAUAACCAGUCAAUAAUCCCACCAACAGUUUCGUCCACUUACUCAAAUCAAUAUCCCCAGAAUCAAACAACUAUGACAUCUGUCAACUCACAUGCGUACCCUAAUCAUCGGUCAACAAACAACUUCGCUCAAUCAACUGCGCACAUUCAGAACCAAUCAACUAUCACACUUACUAACUUAAAUUCAUACUUUCGGCAUGAGUCAAUGAUUACUUCAACAAAUAGCUUACCUCACUCCAAUUGAUACUUUCCAAACCAACCAAUGAAUUCAUCAACAGCUUCACCCAUUUACUCGAAUUCAUAUUUAUAUAAUCAACCCCAAAAUACUUUUACUGGAUAUCAUGGUGAACCUAAAUGGUAUUCACAUCAACAAAAUUAUUUUCCAAGUAACCAAAGUCAAC
Long non-coding RNA from Microplitis demolitor, 2234 nucleotides. RefSeq lists it as uncharacterized. The record is from RefSeq and is a predicted model, not a curated record. The transcript has 7 exons. NCBI's taxonomy places the organism in Eukaryota, Metazoa, Arthropoda, Insecta, Hymenoptera, Braconidae.